GACGUAGGGUGCAAGCGUUGUCCGGAUUUAUUGGGCGUAAAGAGCUCGUAGGCGGUUUGUCGCGUCUGCCGUGAAAGUCCGGGGCUCAACUCCGGAUCUGCGGUGGGUACGGGCAGACUAGAGUGAUGUAGGGGAGACUGGAAUUCCUGGUGUAGCGGUGAAAUGCGCAGAUAUCAGGAGGAACACCGAUGGCGAAGGCAGGUCUUUGGGCAUUAACUGACGCUGAGGAGCGAAAGCAUGGGGAGCGAACAGG
This 253-nucleotide ribosomal RNA is filed under the name uncultured bacterium. RNAcentral's name for it is "partial 16S ribosomal RNA". It matches the Rfam family "Bacterial small subunit ribosomal RNA", at positions 524 to 776 of the family's 1533-position model. The record is from RNAcentral.